AUGACCAAAUCGCCCUGGAUGGAGCCAAUCUUGUAAAAUCUCGGAAGCUAAGCAGGGUUGACCCUCGUUAGUGCUUGUAGAGGUGACCACCCAGGGUUGCUAGAUGCUGUAUAUA
Molecule: ribosomal RNA, 115 nt
Filed under: Petromyzon marinus (sea lamprey)
Lineage: Eukaryota; Metazoa; Chordata; Hyperoartia; Petromyzontiformes; Petromyzontidae
Source: RNAcentral